AUGCUUAUAAACCAGCUACAGUCCCUCGGGCCGAAACUCCCGAUGCUGGCGUGCAACACGGGGACCAAACCACCGGUACACUAGAGGAUGAGAUUUUUCGGGAAUUCCCGUAGGUCACGUGAUUCCCUCGGGAAUCCCACUGGACGGGAGUCAUUUUUUCUACCUCCGUGCUACAUGAGUAAAGCAAACAACGGAGGGAGAAAGCAGCCUUGGAGGAGAAACAUCCAGCAGUGCGAACAACCUCUUCAUAUGGAGUGCUUUGGCUCACACUAUCGGCGUUUUCUGUGAGUGUUGCAUGACUUUGUGUGAGCACAGAGAUGAACACAUUGUGUUACGUGUCACAUUGGAGAAUGCAUGCAUAUUGAAAUAAUUGCAAUGUGCUGAAAUUAAGAAUCAUAAAAAAAUCAUGAAGUAUGAGUUGGACUUUUUGUUUGAAGAAUUUGAUAAUACAUGAAUAAUAAGAAUGAUUUUAAAGUGGGGAAAAUUUGAAUGAAUGGAGAAGUUAAGGGCAUCUGCUCCAAAAACUGACAACUGUUCAAUAUACUUACAGAUACUAGUUAAGUAUAAGCAGGUUUCAGGUAUUUAUAUUAACCAGUUGUCAGUUUUUGAAGCAGAUCAGGGCACCUGCUUGUUCACCCCCAUAUUCCUCCAGCCUAGGCAGAACAUGCACAGGAGAGGUGUGCAGCAUACACAUCUCCUCCCCUGCUUCACCAGCCAGGAAACACAGAAAUAUAUGGAGUGUAUUGUUUUCCCCCCUGUACCUCAGUUAAUGAGCUAUAACUUGCACUUAUUCGUCUUUGUUGUGAACUAGUCUGUCUCAUGCAGCACCAUACAUGUUGGGCCUAAACUAGCCAACCGCACACCUGCUGAACAGCUCAACACUCACCAUUACCCUAAAUCAGUGGUUCUCAAAUCCAGUCCUCGAGCCCCCCAUCCUGCAUGUUUUGGAUGUUUCCCUGCUCCAACACACCUGAUUCAAAUGAUCAGCUCGUUAUUAAGCCAUUACAGAGCUUGAUAACGAGCUGAUCAUUUGAAUCAGGUGUGUUGGAGCAGGGAAACAUCCAAAACAUGCAGGACGGGGGGGCUCGAGGACUGGAUUUGAGAACCACUGCCCUAAAUGGAUAUUAUGUGAUGACCUUCAGGUAGGUAGCGGCAGAUACCAGGUAAGUUCAGCGGGUUUCAGGUAGGUAUAUUGAACAGUUUUCAGAUUUUUGGAUUUUUGGAUAAUUUCACCUGCUUGUCCACUUUACCCCCCCAGCCUCAAGGUGCUUGAGCUGAUGGGUCAAGGAGACAAGGGCAGAGUGGUGGGGGAAGAUACAGCAGCAGAAGAUGAGAGGCACAAUACGCUGUGAGAGUGGUGAGUCCCUACACUACAGGACUACAAUCACUACUACACUACAAAAUCCAUUUUGUAUAACAAUUUUUAAUAACAAAUUCAUACAGUUCUUGGAUUUUUGAUUUUUCAAGUCAUGCAAUUUUAUUUAAAUAAUAUAUGAUGGAACAGAUAUAUGUGGGAAAAAUAAUAAACAUUUAAAAUUGGUUUAAAUAAAUUCAUUGGGCUAAAGAUUAAGGUUUUUUUUGUACAGAACCAAUAUUGUAAGAUUUUCAAAUUUUAAUUUAAUACAUUUUUAAAAUAAGCACCACUAAAUGAAUUAAUAUCAAUCUAGAAUAAGUUCAUAACAUUUUUCUAAAAUUAACAAUUAAAAGCUUAACUAUUUACAGAGCAAGGUCAAUUCAUUUUAUCUAUUUACAAAAUCUCGACCACAUUCCCCUCCUCAAAAAUUAUUAUAAUUUUUUCUGGCAUAGUAGCCAAAGCAUCUGGGAAUUUUUCGUCCCACAUUUCUUUGGGUACAAACCAAUCGACAUUCUGGUCAUCCAGUAUCUGGAUACAGUCAUUCCCGUCAUCGCAGAAUCCUUUGAUUGACACCAGGAUCUGCUUGGUUGUCAUCUGCAGAAGAGAAAUAUUUUACACAGUGCACUCCAUCAUGUUUGGACCAAGGCAUAGGUUCAAUUUUACUGCUUAGAGAUUUUCUGCACACUUGAUUGUACAAUCAGAUCAGAGGCCUGUACUACGAAGCUGGAUUUGGUCUUAGCGAGAUAACUUCUGGAUAACUUCUGGGUUUUCCGUACUACGAAGGUGGAUCUCUUUUUAUCCGGGUCCGUUGCCCCGGUAACUUACGCGGAACGCCAAACCUACUCCGAAGCAGGUUAUGUUUCAGGAUAAGAUCUCAGCAGGUAUAAAAACCGCCCACUGACCAAUCGGAUCUCUUGGAAAAUGGCUUGCCCAAUCUUGCCGGAUCCCGGGGACAUCGUUGCACGGAUAGUGAGAGAAGCGCUUCGUCGAGAGCACUAUAUUCAUGAUCGUUCAUAUCCGUUUGAUUUACCUGAUGAUGUUCUCUAUGAACGUUACAGGUUUUCCUCGGACAGCCUCAAUAUUCAGGUAACAUGAAGUCUAAGCAAUGCACAAAUAUUUGCCAAGCUCCAGGUUACAAUUUCAUGCGGCAUAUCAGUCAUCAUUCAGAAUUUAUUGAAGCAGAUUAGAAAACUCUUAACCCCAAAUGUGUCUGCAGAUGACAUGUGACUAUCAGAUGAUGGAAAAAAAAAAAAGGCAGUGUGAGGAAAUCACUGUUAACGUGUUGAAAUGUGUACUAAUAAAAUCUUCCAAUAAACUAACAAACUACUUAAAAGGAUGUUUUUAGAUUUAUUUUUAUUUGCUCCCACGUACUCUUUCCCCCACUGCUGUUGUAUCUGAAAUAAUGAGGUCAUUGAUGGAGGUGAUCACUAGCAUGACAACAUAUUUGGGGGGCAUAAAUUUAUGAACGCACUAAUGUAAUUUACACAAUCAAUGAUUUUUUUGCCAGCAGUCCCUCCGGCUUUUAGCGGCUGUCCUGCUCCUCACUGCUCCUCGUAAAAUAAUGCUCUGUUCCUCGGCUGUGAAAAAUGAUGUGCAGCUUUCUCCAUUGUGGAGAUUGGUCUGGUGGCACUGACCUCACCCCCUUUACGUGUGCGCGCACAGAUCUGAAGUGGCCACACCUGGAUUCAGUUAUCGAGUUGAUAACCGGCUUCGUAGUACAACUGAUCGGGAUCGCGGAGAUCCGGUGAAGUUGAGCGAGUUGUCGCAGAGUUAUCCUGGAUGUGUUAAUCCAGCUUCGUAGUACAGGCCUCUGAUUAGAAUCAAAACAGUGAUCAUAAAGGGGGCAACAGGGCAUGGAAUUAAAUAAUAUGUGAAUGUCAGACUUACUUCCACCUCGGAGAAAUUUGUGCUGUGCAGCGAUAACCCAUACUCUGGGGAAUUUUUAAUGCGCAGGUGCGUCAUUUUACAUGGUGUUCCAGUGCAGAGGUCAACCAUUGUGGCCUCACGCCACAGGCAGACCUUGACCUCUGCUUCUCCCUAUAAUGAUAAAACAGGCCUCAUAAAAAGUGUAUAACUAACAGCUGUUAAUGCCUAAAUCUUCAUUCUACAUAUGAUUUCACUCUCAGUUUGCAUUGAGACUUUAGAUUAGAUUAGAUUAGAUUAGAUCAGAUCAGAUCAGAUCCGAUUAGAUUAGAUUAGAUUAGAUUAGAUUAGAUACUACUUUAUCUAUCCUUUUGGAAAGGUUUCCAAAAGAAGAAUAUUACUUACCUCUUUGAGCCCUAUGUUCACCAAAGGCACGGGUGGACCGUGUUGGCUUGUGAUCUGCAUGAUUUUACUGAUCUAAAUACACAGAUACACACAUUUUAAUACAUUUGCAUUUUGUGUGCUAUAAGGCUGAGGUUUUAGAAACCUUUUUAAGCAAGGAGACCAGGUGAUAUGGACUAUACAAAAACAGACCUCUGGAUAGGACAGACCCCAGAGGGGUUUUGACAGCCUUAACUGAGUAAUGAUGAACUGUUUGCAACAUUAACUGUCACCACAUCAACAACAAUAAUAAAAUGCUUACGCUUGUAACACAGCCCUCCACUGUGAUGAAUCCAUCCCUGAUAGCAGUGAUGUCUUUGAUUGACAGUUUCUGGCUUGGUGGGCAAAUCAUUUUUCUACCCUCCUCCUCUAGACUGGCCGGGACUUCCACAGGGGAGGUGUUAAAUAUGAUGGUGUCUUGGCGUGACAGCAUGGAGCGCCGGACACCGUACUUGGAAACACCAUAGUUUUUAACAAUAUAGCUGCGACCCUCGACUAUUUUAUCUGCCAGGUUUUCAAACAGGAUGAAUUUGGUGACUGACACCCCAUCUGAAACUGCAGCAGUGCAAUUCUUGUGCAGUUUGAGAGGGCGUGCCUCCCCCUCUGUAAAUUCCCAGGCAGCCGCCUUCAUUUGUGUUUGAAGGGCAAUGACUUUGAUCUUCAGGGGUGGUUGCCGCUGGUAAGGAGUAGAACUCUGGGCGAAAAUUGUAUGCAGAGACAUCCUGAAAAUAGAGACAAAUUGUGUUAAUGCCCGUCAAAGUGCUCAUUAAACAUGUUUAAGUUGCUUACAUCAGCAUUCACAUUGGAAUAUGAGUUUCCUGUUAAACUGACCAGGGCUGAGAAUUUUUACCCAGGACAACAGCACAGUAGGAGGGCUAAAACUGUUUUAAAUAUUACCUUUACUGUAAAUCUAUUACUUGUCUUAAAGACUGUAGUUUGUACCCUGUGUCAAUAGUUGGCGGUAAUGUGCCGGCAAGCUGUUUGCCAACCACCAAUAACACCAAAUAAACUACAUAUCCAAUCAUCCGGUCGAUGAAGAAGAGGAAGAUAGUAAACAUGGCUGUCGGGACGAAGUUUUUGUGCAUGUCACGGAGAGGAUAUAUUCAAAAACAAUUUAAAUGCGGGGAUAGAGGUAAGGUCAUUAAACCUGUUAGUUGCGUUGGUAGCGGUUAUAUAAAAGCAAUGAGAUGAAGUCAGUAUAAAUGCCAUUUUUGUUAGUAUUUGUCAGUUGUUCCGUUUUCAUAGACUACAAAGUAGCCGUUACAGUACAUUAGCAUAUUAACCUUACAGUACAAAGUAGCUAACUUAACGUCUGAUAACUAUCAGAAUAUCGGAUACACAGGGCCGUACUCUUUCAAUUACACUGGAGUUAUCAUAAUGUACAUUACACGUUUGUUACUUUUUACUAAAUUCAAUGUUUUUCUGUGGCUGUUGGCGCAACAUUGUAACCUGUAAGUAAGACGGCAUGAAACCCCUACUGGAUUUAAACUGUCAUUUCAUGUUCAAAGUUGUACAUUAAUCCACAUGAGUAAAUUCAUUGCAUCUUCUAUCAGUCUCUAUGGCAGGUGCUGCUUUGAGAGAGUCUUACUGUCCAUAGUGGUCAGUAUGACUCUCUCAAAGCAGCACCUGCCAUAGGAAUCAGGUAAGUACAUCAGGUACCUAUGUUAUUGAUGUUAUACACUGUGGCUGCGUGACUGACCUGGGAUGAGACAGCUCUAAACUUCACUAAAUAUGUCUAAUUUUCAGCAUCUUUGACUUUUCCACACAGCAACCAGUAGUGUGAUAUUUGAGUUUGUUAUCUGUAACACUGGUGUAACUGUUGUCUUUUCUCUCAACUCAUCACAGAAUCAGCUGGACAUAAGCCACAGAGCCAAACCCAGCAACCUGCAACCUUGGAGCCAUGUGAUCCCUGCUGAGCUUUGAACACCCCUCUGCAACCUUAUGGUCUUUAAGUAGCUCACAUCUUUCUGUAAAUAGAGGGUAUACAGUUUUUGAAUGUUUUUUUUUCCUUUGGUGUUUAAGUACCUCCUGUUUAACCAUGUCAGUUUAUUUGGCUUGUUGCGACAUCUACUAUUUAUCUCUACAGAAAGCGCCGCUUUGACUCUGCACCAGGGAAAAUGGAGCUCUUUUAUGCAUUAAGUAUCAGGACUAAACAGCCUCAGGUCAGAAGUGGAGAAACUACCCACAGAGACCAGAACUCCUCACUGCCCUCUUCACCUGCACCAGGUCUGUGAUAUUCUGAUAUGAAAAUGUGAAUCAGUAACAGGAGUGACUGCAAGUUUCAAUCAUGUGCCAUGCUCAGUGCUUCGAUUAGGUGAAGUUGGACCCAUUAUGAUAGCAGCAUCAUUCUGACAAGAAUCAACAUUACUCCACUGAAGCAGGACCCAAGCAUGCUGUAAAAAUUCUGGCAUUCUCAUCUUUCAGCACAUUAAUACUUUGCCAUAUUCCUGCAACAUGUCACUGAGCCACUCAAAGCCAAGCUUCCAGUCUGAGAAGGAGGUGCUGUUCAGAGGAGCAACAACUUGCUUCUCCCCACAUGCAGGACAUUAACCUGGUAAGUAUCCCUCUCUAGUCACCACACCAAUUGUUUGUAUUUUGUUUUUGGUCAGCUGUAUCACUGGUGUCACACCUUUGUCAACUCUCGCCUCUUCAGAUCCAGCUCAGCGGGAGUCAAAGUACCAAGCACAGCAAACAGACAACCCUGCAGCCAUGUGAGCUCUGCUGGGCGUCCAUCACUUCUUGAGCUGCAGCCCAACAAGAAUAAAGAUCAGCCCACCUGCUGCCUGUUUUAUCUGGCAGAUAAGUCAAGACCAAGCAUCCAUGGGACUCUUUUCUCUCCAUUCCCAUCACCCCAUCUAAGAACCAGGGUUCAGAACCCACCUGAGAAGCCCCCACCCACAAUGUAACACUAGAGAAUGCAAUUUCUGAAAGAAUUACUCUUGCUGAUUUAACUGACUCUGAACUGUGAUUGUUCAUGGCUGAAUAUUGAAGAUGGUUCGAAACAGAAAUUUCUCAUCACGUAGUUAUUGUCUCUCGUGUAUUUAUUGUCACUGAGACGGUAUGGGUUUUAUAUUAUUCAUAUUGUAGUUUCUACUUGGUUUUAUCCUUUUAUCAUUUUCAGGACCUCCAGUGUUUCCUCUGGUGGAGCCCUUGGCACCAGGAGCAGUGAUCGGCAGUGGUCACAGGGGCGAGUCAUGGGGUUCCUGGUGGAGGUUGGUGUCUGCCACAUCUCUCCUCUCGCCCUGCGUCCUGUGGCUAUGGGUGGCUCUCUGCUCCUGGUGCUGAUGGCUCUCUGAUGGUGCUGGUUCAUCUGUACUCUGCCUCAUGUUCACUGUCUUAGCGUCCAAACGUAUGGCUGCAUUACUGUGUGUGUGUGUGUGUGUGUGUGUGUGUGUGUGUGUGUGUGUGUGUCUGGCUUUAGGUGAGACUGUGUAUGUGACUGUUAACUGUGGGUUGUAUUGUUGUGUGGCAUGUGUUAGGGGGUGCAUUUAGGAUUGUUUUAGGUUUCUCAACAAACUGUAAAGUACUUUGUGUUAUGUUCUUUUGUAUGAAUAGCG
RNAcentral lists this long non-coding RNA (7215 nucleotides) under Xyrichtys novacula (pearly razorfish). The record is from RNAcentral. Lineage: Eukaryota; Metazoa; Chordata; Actinopteri; Labriformes; Labridae.